GUGAAAUGAUGAUUCAGUUUAUCCAUUCGCUGAGUGCGCUGCACCAACCUUCUUCCAAACCUCAGUUCCUGUUCUAGGAGCGCGGGGCUGCGUGGCCUCCAGGCUCCCUGCAGCCUGCAGUGUUCUGCUGCCGGCUGCUGGGGGGUCUGGGCUACUGGGAGAAUGGCUGGUGGUGGCAGGGGUGAGGCCCCCUCGGGGCCCAUCUCACCGAGAUGAGUGGUAAGAUCUGAUCAC
Molecule: small nucleolar RNA, 234 nt
Organism: Ochotona princeps (American pika)
Lineage: Eukaryota; Metazoa; Chordata; Mammalia; Lagomorpha; Ochotonidae
Gene: SNORD17
Product: small nucleolar RNA, C/D box 17
Source: Ensembl